Molecule: long non-coding RNA, 931 nt
Organism: Cavia porcellus (domestic guinea pig)
Lineage: Eukaryota; Metazoa; Chordata; Mammalia; Rodentia; Caviidae
Exons: 3
Source: RefSeq, a predicted model, not a curated record
UCCUGCAAAGCAUCUUUGGAGGUAUAAUCCCAUGCUAAAGAGGGCUGGGAUUCAAGGUGUGCUUUCCUUUGGGGGCCACUUGUAACACGGUGGCCAGGUUUCACUAUACCAGCACUGACUUGUGAUGAAAAUCCAGUCAGUGUGAGUAGCUUCUCUGGAACAUCUGGGGCCUGCAGCAGCUGGAGAAGAAAUGAGGCUGUGUAAUUACAACGUCUGCAUACAGCUGGUGAUGCAGCUUCCUGCACUGACUCUGUCCGCAGCAGCCCUGCCCUCCCUCUGAUUUCUGCAGUGCGUGCAUCACCGUUAUUGCAAAAAAGAAGAAGGAGACGAAGAAGGGGAAGGAGAAGAAAAAGAAAAGCCUGCUUCAGUGCAUUUGAAGUAUGGAACAGUGAUCAUUUUAAAUCACAGUCAAUUGCCCAGCUUUUCACUUGAAUAAAAUUCAGGUACCAUUUAGUUCACAAAGAUAAUUUUACUUUGAGAUUUACAGCUGAGCCUCUCAUCUAAAGCAAUCUUCCUCACCAUCCCCCAGCCCUAUUUCUUUUUUACCCUCAAACCCACAAGGCUGCAUUUAAACAUGAUGAAUCAAGAGUAAAAUAUAAUGGAAGUAGCUGCUGUAUUAGAAAAACGUACCGGGAAUCUCUGAGAAUACAUGAUAUAUUUCUUUCAUAAUAUCAAAAAUGGGGCAGGCUGUGCUUUGGAGUGAGGCCACUAUGGUGUCCCACGUAGGAAGUGUCCCCAGAGAACCACAAGUCCCAGGCCUGAGUGCUCAUUAGUAAGCAGGUCAGAAGCCGUACUCUGGAGAGGCCCAGCCAAGUGGGGUCACUGCCAAGGAAUGGGAGAUGCCCUGGUGUACACGACAAAUUCUCCAAUGCGUUGGGUCCAUACUUAGCACAAUCACAUAGGAAGCCCUAUUCUACGACAUGAAUCUCAG